Molecule: ribosomal RNA, 309 nt
Filed under: Triticum aestivum (bread wheat)
Lineage: Eukaryota; Viridiplantae; Streptophyta; Magnoliopsida; Poales; Poaceae
Description: partial small subunit ribosomal RNA
Source: RNAcentral
AUGUUUCGUAUCCAGUCUUUGCAAAACAUGGCUAUGUUGAAAGAGCCACACAAAAGGCUAUUGAAGUCAAUUCCACAACUUCACCACUUGGUUAUUCAUCAUCAACAUCGGAAAGUACUCUUCUUGCACCACCAACACUCUUUGAGACUUCUUUUUCAUGAAGCUCUUGUUUUGGAAAGAUUUGGACUUGUCCUUGUGGAUGAGCUUGCCUCCAUUGUUUUCCCUCUUCUCGUAUGUGUAAUCGACAAUGAAGUGACUCACGUUUCCAUAAUUGUAGCAAGUCCUAACUCUUUGACAGAUCUAUUAUAA